RNAcentral lists this ribosomal RNA (492 nucleotides) under uncultured bacterium. RNAcentral describes it as "partial 16S ribosomal RNA". It matches the Rfam family "Bacterial small subunit ribosomal RNA", at positions 29 to 507 of the family's 1533-position model. The record is from RNAcentral.
AGUGAACGCUGGCGGUAGGCCUAACACAUGCAAGUCGAACGGCAGCACAGUAAGAGCUUGCUCUUACGGGUGGCGAGUGGCGGACGGGUGAGGAAUAAAUCGGAAUCUACUUUUUCGUGGGGGAUAACGUAGGGAAACUUACGCUAAUACCGCAUACGACCUACGGGUGAAAGCAGGGGAUCUUCGGACCUUGCGCGAUUGAAUGAGCCGAUGUCGGAUUAGCUAGUUGGCGGGGUAAAGGCCCACCAAGGCGACGAUCCGUAGCUGGUCUGAGAGGAUGAUCAGCCGCACUGGAACUGAGACACCGUCCAGACUCCUACGGGAGGCAGCAGUGGGGAAUAUUGGACAAUGGGCGCAAGCCUGAUCCAGCCAUACCGCGUGGGUGAAGAAGGCCUUCGGGUUGUAAAGCCCUUUUGUUGGGAAAGAAAAGCAGCAGGUUAAUACCCCGCUGUUCUGACGGUACCCAAAGAAUAAGCACCGGCUAACUUCGUG